GUGUCGUGAGAUGUUGGGUUAAGUCCCGCAACGAGCGCAACCCUCGACCUUAGUUGCCAGCAUUCAGUUGGGCACUCUAAGGUGACUGCCGGCUAAAAGUCGGAGGAAGGUGGGGAUGACGUCAAAUCAUCAUGCCCCUUAUGACCUGGGCUACACACGUGCUACAAUGGGCGGUACAAAGGGUCGCGAACCCGCGAGGGGGAGCCAAUCCCAAAAAAGCCGCUCUCAGUUCGGAUUGCAGGCUGCAACUCGCCUGCAUGAAGCCGGAAUCGCUAGUAAUCGCGGAUCAGCAUGCCGCGGUGAAUACGUUCCCGGGCCUU
RNAcentral lists this ribosomal RNA (320 nucleotides) under uncultured Anoxybacillus sp. RNAcentral's name for it is "bacterial SSU rRNA". It matches the Rfam family "Bacterial small subunit ribosomal RNA", at positions 1062 to 1382 of the family's 1533-position model. The record is from RNAcentral. Lineage: Bacteria; Bacillati; Bacillota; Bacilli; Caryophanales; Anoxybacillaceae.